GAUGAACGCUGGCGGCGUGCCUAAUACAUGCAAGUCGAGCGAACAGACGAGGAGCUUGCUCCUCUGACGUUAGCGGCGGACGGGUGAGUAACACGUGGAUAACCUACCUAUAAGACUGGGAUAACUUCGGGAAACCGGAGCUAAUACCGGAUAAUAUAUUGAACCGCAUGGUUCAAUAGUGAAAGACGGUUUUGCUGUCACUUAUAGAUGGAUCCGCGCCGCAUUAGCUAGUUGGUAGGGUAACGGCUUACCAAGGCAACGAUGCGUAGCCGACCUGAGAGGGGGAUCGGCCACACUGGAACUGAGACACGGUCCAGACUCCUACGGGAGGCAGCAGUAGGGAAUCUUCCGCAAUGGGCGAAAGCCUGACGGAGCAACGCCGCGUGAGUGAUGAAGGUCUUCGGAUCGUAAAGCUCUGUUAUUAGGGAAGAACAAAUGUGUAAGUAACUAUGCACGUCUUGACGGUACCUAAUCAGAAAGCCACGGCUAACUACGUG
This 497-nucleotide ribosomal RNA is filed under the name uncultured bacterium. RNAcentral describes it as "partial 16S ribosomal RNA". It matches the Rfam family "Bacterial small subunit ribosomal RNA", at positions 28 to 507 of the family's 1533-position model. The record is from RNAcentral.